RNAcentral lists this ribosomal RNA (200 nucleotides) under uncultured organism. RNAcentral's name for it is "partial small subunit ribosomal RNA". It matches the Rfam family "Bacterial small subunit ribosomal RNA", at positions 1184 to 1382 of the family's 1533-position model. The record is from RNAcentral.
GUCAAGUCAUCAUGGUCCUUACGCCCAGGGCUACACACGUGCUACAAUGGCCAGGACAAACCGAAGCGAGGCCGCGAGGCGGAGCGAAUCGGAAAAACCUGGUCUAAGUUCGGAUUGCAGUCUGUAACUCGACUGCAUGAAGUUGGAAUCGCUAGUAAUCGUGGAUCAGCUACGCCACGGUGAAUCCGUUCCCGGGCCUU